RNAcentral lists this long non-coding RNA (557 nucleotides) under Androctonus crassicauda. The record is from RNAcentral. Lineage: Eukaryota; Metazoa; Arthropoda; Arachnida; Scorpiones; Buthidae.
UAUAACAUGGAUUCAUAUAAAGCAGAACAUAUGAGCCAUAUAAGAUUAUAAAUGAAUCAAGUAUCAAAAUAUUGAAAAAUAUGAACAUUAUUUGCAUUUAUUCCAAUUAGAAUGCUGCCAAUUAGAGUUAGGAUUCAUCAGAAUACCAAGUGACUCAUAUUGCAAUUAGACUGUGAUAAUAUCAAAUUUAUCUACUAUGUUAUAAGAGUGUAUUUUAUUGCACAUUGCUACAAUUUUUUUGUUGCAUUAUACAAAUCCAUGCUAUACAAAUAAUAUGUUAUAUGAAGAUCUACUGUAAUUUGUAUAUUUCAUUCAUAUGGUCCCACAGAAUCCAAAUUUUUGAGUUGACUAUGUGGUAUUUACAGCAGUGGCUUUCCAUUUUGGAGGAUCCAGGUUCAAUGCUAGGUACACAAAUGCAGUUUCUCAGGUGGUUUUGUGCAUACCACCAACUCUUUCCACUCCUAGAACUCUUUCCUUCAAUCUCCUAGUUGACCCCACUAUGGGUGUUGACCAGGCUAUGGCAGGCUUUAAAAAUGGCUUCUGCCAAAAGUAUCCCA